UACGGGGGGGGCAAGCGUUGUUCGGAAUUACUGGGCGUAAAGGGCUCGUAGGCGGCCAACUAAGUCAGACGUGAAAUCCCUCGGCUUAACCGGGGAACUGCGUCUGAUACUGGAUGGCUUGAAUCCGGGAGAGGGAUGCGGAAUUCCAGGUGUAGCGGUGAAAUGCGUAGAUAUCAGGAGGAACACCAGCGGCGAAGGCGGCGCUCUGGGCUGGAACUGACGCUGAGGAGCGAAAGCGUGGGGAGCGAACAGG
This 253-nucleotide ribosomal RNA is filed under the name uncultured bacterium. RNAcentral describes it as "partial 16S ribosomal RNA". It matches the Rfam family "Bacterial small subunit ribosomal RNA", at positions 524 to 776 of the family's 1533-position model. The record is from RNAcentral.